Molecule: ribosomal RNA, 253 nt
Filed under: uncultured bacterium
Lineage: Bacteria
Description: partial 16S ribosomal RNA
Rfam family: Bacterial small subunit ribosomal RNA
Source: RNAcentral
UACAGAGGGUGCAAGCGUUGUUCGGAAUUAUUGGGCGUAAAGGGAGUGUAGGCUGUGAGGUAAGUCUUCUGUGAAAUCUACGGGCUUAGCCUGUAACGUGCAGAGGAAACUGCUUCGCUUGAGUGUCGGAGAGGAUAGGGGAAUACCCGGUGUAGAGGUGAAAUUCGUAGAGAUCGGGUGGAACACCAGUGGCGAAGGCGCCUAUCUGGGUCGAUACUGACGCUGAGGUGCGAAAGCGUGGGGAGCAAACAGG